GUCCACCACCAGGUCACCGCCCACUCGGUGCAUCUCUCCCUACUGCAGGGAGACAAGCCUGAGCCACGAGCGUUCGCGAGGCCGCCUGUGAGGGGACCUGACCAUUCUCCGGGGCUCCUGUGGGCACCGGAACGGAUGUGAAGGGGUCACUUUGCGAUUUCGCCUCCCACCGGCCGCCUCCUGGCAUCUGCAUAGCAUCGUUUGGCGCCGCUUCAGGCACCCCGUCUCCGCGGCUCCAGUACUAGAGAGUGUAGUUUCGAGAUGUGUGGCGUGACCAACUCAUUCCACCCUUCCGUACAACGAUAACUGAUGUGGGUUGACAUCAGCAAGAUGGUGCAAUAGGAAGUGCCAGCCCUUAUACGCCCCACAGAAACACCUGUUUCAACAACCACUCAUGGAUGAGGCUUCCUUGUGGGAGUCUGGAAGUAAAACUGAGAGGUUUCAGCUCCCAGGUGGAGCAAAGUCGUCCAAGACUAGAUGCACUGAAGAAGGUUUCACAUUGCCCGUGUCACCCCACUCCCAAGGUGGCACAACAUUGGCAUCUCUGGGAGCUUGGUAGAAAGCAGAAUCUCAGGUCCCACCCCAGACCUGCUAAAUCAGAGCCUGCAGUUUCACAAGAUCCCCAGGGAAUUGCAUGCACGCUGUGAGAAGUGCUGCAUUAUCCUACAUUUAGCAAUCCAUGAAUGAUGUUUUGCAUUUGUCUGUGUGUUAUUUAAAAUUUAUGUAAGUGAUAUCAUACUACACAUACCAUUUAACAACUACCUUUUUUCUUUCAACAAGUUCUGUUUGAGAACUAACAAUGCUAAUAUAGAUCUAGUACAUUCUCUUUUAAUUUGUUGAAGAAAAGUCACACUUAUGUUGCUGAUAAUGAAAUCUAUUAUUAAAUCAGUCUGUUAGUGGCA
This is a long non-coding RNA of Equus caballus (horse), 902 nucleotides long. RefSeq lists it as uncharacterized. The record is from RefSeq and is a predicted model, not a curated record. Lineage: Eukaryota; Metazoa; Chordata; Mammalia; Perissodactyla; Equidae.